RNAcentral lists this transfer RNA (73 nucleotides) under Caudoviricetes sp. RNAcentral describes it as "tRNA-Ala". It matches the Rfam family "tRNA". From Rfam's summary of the family: Transfer RNA (tRNA) molecules are approximately 80 nucleotides in length. Lineage: Duplodnaviria; Heunggongvirae; Uroviricota; Caudoviricetes. The record is from RNAcentral.
GGGAUUGUAGUUCUAAUGGGAGAAUAACUGCUUUGCAAGCAGAAGGUUGUGGGUUCAAAUCCCACCAGUUCCA